UACGACGGGGGCAAGCGUUGUUCGGAAUUACUGGGCGUAAAGGGCGCGUAGGCGGCCGAUCAAGUCAGGCGUGAAAUUCCCGGGCUCAACCUGGGGGCUGCGCUUGAUACUGAUUGGCUUGAAUGCGGGAGAGGAUAGUGGAAUUCCCAGUGUAGAGGUGAAAUUCGUAGAUAUUGGGAAGAACACCGGUGGCGAAGGCGGCUAUCUGGCCCGUAAUUGACGCUGAGGCGCGAAAGCGUGGGGAGCAAACAGG
RNAcentral lists this ribosomal RNA (253 nucleotides) under uncultured bacterium. RNAcentral's name for it is "partial 16S ribosomal RNA". It matches the Rfam family "Bacterial small subunit ribosomal RNA", at positions 524 to 776 of the family's 1533-position model. The record is from RNAcentral.